ACGCACGCUGGCGGCGUGCUUCACCCCUGCCAGUCGAACGGAAAGGCCCUGCUUUUGUGGGGUGCUCGAGUGGCGAACGGGUGAGUAACACGUGAGUAACCUGCCCUUGACUUUGGGAUAACUUCAGGAAACUGGGGCUAAUACCGGAUAGGAGCUCCUGCUGCAUGGUGGGGGUUGGAAAGUUUCGGCGGUUGGGGAUGGACUCGCGGCUUAUCAGCUUGUUGGUGGGGUAGUGGCUUACCAAGGCUUUGACGGGUAGCCGGCCUGAGAGGGUGACCGGCCACAUUGGGACUGAGAUACGGCCCAGACUCGUACGGGAGGCAGCAGUGGGGAAUAUUGCACAAUGGGCGGAAGCCUGAUGCAGCAACGCCGCGUGCGGGAUGACGGCCUUCGGGUUGUAAACCGCUUGCGCCUGUGACGAAGCGUGAGUGACGGUAAUGGGUAAAGAAGCACCGGCUAACUACGUG
This 467-nucleotide ribosomal RNA is filed under the name uncultured bacterium. RNAcentral describes it as "partial 16S ribosomal RNA". It matches the Rfam family "Bacterial small subunit ribosomal RNA", at positions 29 to 507 of the family's 1533-position model. The record is from RNAcentral.